RNAcentral lists this unclassified non-coding RNA (2618 nucleotides) under Hevea brasiliensis (rubber tree). The record is from RNAcentral. Lineage: Eukaryota; Viridiplantae; Streptophyta; Magnoliopsida; Malpighiales; Euphorbiaceae.
UUUUCUGUUGUGGUCCAUGGUACCAUUGCUAUUACUGUCGGGAAGGCCGACGACAUAUGGCCUCGGAUAUUGGGAUGACACAGAGCCAACAGGACCCAAUAACGGUGAAUUUACAGAUGGCGUGUAAAUCCUUCCACCAGAGGAAGGAUCAACGAAAGAAGUUGAUCCAACUGAGAAUGAUGCAGAAGGAAGUGCGAAACUUGUUCCGAAAGGAAAUACAGGAUACUGGAAAGGGGAGGAUUGGAAGGGCACAGCAGGAGAAGAUGACAAUACCGAGCUCCGGUAAACAUCUGGUGUGAAAGGAGAACCAGCAGGACCCAAGAUUCGCUGUGCACCAGGUGUGACUAUUGGGAAUGGCGUCUGCUCCACACGAUCAGGCAAAAUUGAUGGAAGUGUCACAGUUGAAUAAGUACUUCCAGGGGUAAACCACGAAGAGAGAUUCCCCAUUUCCGGAUUGUUCAGUCUGAGGUUAGAAGCAGGCAGUUGAGAACGCAUGCUCCCCUGAUAAUUAUCAUGGAAUAGAGACUGUUCCGCGUUGGACUCAUCAACACUGGGCCCAUUAUUUAAAUCAAAGUCCCUCCUCACAUCCCCAGUUGGCAAGCCAACCGUUGACGCUUUGGAAGGAAAAACAGCACCGUCCAAUCUACAACUGCUACUCACAGAGCACUGUCCUGCAUCACCAGGUUCAUCAAGUCUAUUUAAAUCAAGAUCAAGUCCUCCAGAACAACGAACAGCAGGAGAAUCAAUCACAUCAUUCUUCAAUGAAGCACGACUAGCACUAUGGCCCAAAGGAGAGAUCAGCUCUAGAGCAGAAUCUUGACCAUUUAUGUCGUCAAAGGUUCUUUCAUCUGGUACAUUCAGGUCGAUAUCUAAUUGAGGGCGACUGUGCUUGCCGGUAGAAGCUUCAGCACGAGAGAUGGUUGCUGAACUUAACGGCAUAUCAAGUGAUUUUCUGGGCUCAGCUGGGCGAAAUGCACUUGUGGCAGCAGAGCCUUUCCACCCAAACUCACCUUUGACCCUCAAUAGCUCCUCAGGUGGAACAAACGGACCUUUGGCGGCGGCGGCUACAGUAAUGGAGGCAGGCAGACUACAGGAAACUGAGGAUACAGCAAAAGGCAAUGGGUUCAUAAUAUGGACAUUUGAUAAACAUCCAGGGCCUGUAAGGUUGAUUGGAUCCCCGUAUUUCCCCUCAUCAGAAAAAAAACCUUCAUUUAAGUCAAACUUCACCUUUGAAGCUGACUCUGGAGCAGCAGUAGAGACAAAAGAUAUCUUUGCAUUGGUAGAUCCGCAGUCCUUUUUUUUAUCUGCUUCACCAGCAGAAAAGUUCAAUUCUCUAGAUUCCCCAUGUUUCUGCACUUCUGCAUUUGAAAAUCCAGAUCUAUCUUUCUGAUUGAGUAACAAACCAGAGUUCUGCACAGGAACAACGUUCUUCCUUUCAACACUAGCUUCACCCUUCUGAUUUCUUGUAACUAUGUCAGUUCCAACACGGGCUUUAUCCUCAACUGAAGCUUCAAUAUUUGCUAAGCGCUCUUCCUUGUCACUUCCCUCCAGCUUUUCAGAAUUUACCACUACCGAAGAUGGUUUCGUCUCAGCACUAGCAAUGUUCAACACCCUGUUCAUGCCAUUUUUGUUCUCACUUUCAAAUUUAGAAGUGCAGACUUCAACUGAUGGUUUCUGGUCUUCCAAGCUUGCAACUGUACUAGCGACCUUGUCUCCUAAUACUGAAGCACCAUCUCCACCUAAUUUAGCAUCUAAAGGACCUUCAACUUUGACCUCACGGGACACCACAGUUUCCUCAUGGAAUUGCUUGCUUGCUUCACCAUCAAUUGCCUUCUCAGAUACAGUACGAGGUGAAGAAGCAUACUUUUCCACCUCACCUGACUUCUCAGUGAUCUCCAACUUUUCUCCAGCCGUCUGUGAAUCAAAGCAGGGAGAGUUGAACUGUUUACAUCCACCUGCCAUUGUCUCUUGAGAAGGUGAAACAGAGGCCUUUCUAUCUCCAGGUAACUCAAUUGCAGCACCCAUGGAUGAAAGCAGUUUAUCCUCGGACCAUGAAGCACUAGCAAUAAUGAGUUCCUCUCCAUUACCAUCACCAUCAUCAUUUUUACGGUCACCAGCAGUGAUAUCACCAGGAGGUGACUUUGACUUAGCGUCGUCGCCUGUGCAAGCCUCUUCAGCAGCAGGGGUGUUCCUAUGCGAGGAAACGGAAGGUGAUACCAUGUUAGACUUGGACAUUUCUUCAGCAGCCACACUGGCAAGGAGAUUCAUACCAAUAGCAUCACCCAAUAACAUAGGAACGUUCGAUUCGGAAUAUUUUACACAGCUCUCAAUCAAAGCAUUCAUGGGGCUGUAAGAAGCUUCGUGAAGCUUUCCGGACUUGGCUUCAGUCCCUGAUGUACAAGCAGCUCUAACUUCUGCUGAUCUCCUGCUGUCAUCAACAAUCUUGCUUCGCUCCUCCUCUGUAACAGCAGCUGGUGAUCCAUCUCCAUCAUCAGAACCAGUUAGUAUAUCUUUGAAAUCAUUACUCUGCCAUGAUUCAGCAUUUGCCUCCAAAUUUGAUCGAUCUGCAUCAGUCUUCUCCUUUAAAGUUCGGUCAAAUUGAUCACUCUUCUCAGAAA